RNAcentral lists this ribosomal RNA (557 nucleotides) under Sphingobium sp. StTD465. RNAcentral describes it as "bacterial SSU rRNA". It matches the Rfam family "Bacterial small subunit ribosomal RNA", at positions 102 to 694 of the family's 1533-position model. Lineage: Bacteria; Pseudomonadati; Pseudomonadota; Alphaproteobacteria; Sphingomonadales; Sphingobiaceae. The record is from RNAcentral.
ACGGGUGCUUAACGCGUGGGAAUCUGCCCUUGGGUUCGGAAUAACAUCGGGAAACUGAUGCUAAUACCGGAUGAUGACGAAAGUCCAAAGAUUUAUCGCCCAGGGAUGAGCCCGCGUAGGAUUAGCUAGUUGGUGAGGUAAAGGCUCACCAAGGCGACGAUCCUUAGCUGGUCUGAGAGGAUGAUCAGCCACACUGGGACUGAUACACGGCCCAAACUCCUACGGGAGGCAGCAGUAGGGAAUAUUGGACAAUGGGGGCAACCCUGAUCCAGCAAUGCCGCGUGAGUGAUGAAGGCCUUAGGGUUGUAAAGCUCUUUUACCCGGGAUGAUAAUGACAGUACCGGGAGAAUAAGCCCCGGCUAACUCCGUGCCAGCAGCCGCGGUAAUACGGAGGGGGCUAGCGUUGUUCGGAAUUACUGGGCGUAAAGCGCACGUAAGCGGCGAUUUAAGUCAGAGGUGAAAGCCCGGGGCUCAACCCCGGAAUAGCCUUUGAGACUGGAUUGCUUGAAUCUUGGAGAGGCGGGUGGAAUUCCGAGUGUAUAGGUGAAAUUCGUAGA